This 400-nucleotide ribosomal RNA is filed under the name uncultured bacterium. Its description in RNAcentral is "bacterial SSU rRNA". It matches the Rfam family "Bacterial small subunit ribosomal RNA", at positions 355 to 747 of the family's 1533-position model. The record is from RNAcentral.
UGGGGAAUAUUGGACAAUGGGGGCAACCCUGAUCCAGCAAUACCGCGUGUGUGAAGAAGGCCUGAGGGUUGUAAAGCACUUUCAGCGAGGAGGAAGGGUAUAUGGUUAAUACCCAUAUAUUUUGACGUUACUCGAAGAAGAAGCACCGGCUAACUCUGUGCCAGCAGCCGCGGUAAUACAGAGGGUGCAAGCGUUAAUCGGAAUUACUGGGCGUAAAGCGUGCGUAGGCGGAUGCUUAAGUCAGAUGUGAAAGCCCUGGGCUUAACCUAGGAAUUGCAUCUGAUACUGGACAUCUAGAGUAUGGUAGAGGAUAGUGGAAUUUCAGGUGUAGCGGUGAAAUGCGUAGAUAUCUGAAGGAACACCAGUGGCGAAGGCGACUGUCUGGGCCAAUACUGACGCU